UCUGAUAUUUAAAAUUAAUUUUCAUUUUUUUCCCACUUUAUUCUGGUGUUACAAAAAAUUGUACAAAGAUACAAACCCACACGAUAUUCUAUACGCAUAAUACUAUUGUAUACUUUUAUUUAUUUUCCAAGUUCCUUACUAUGAAGUUAUGCCAAUAUCAUCUGCAAUAAGUCAAAAGAGAGAUGAUGAAAGCUACAAAAUAGUAAUAAAUGCAUUCAAUCAAAGCCUCGAAGUUUAUUUGAAUCCUACAGACGGAUAUUUAGUUAGCGAAAGUACUCCCGUUUGGACUGUGCGGCCUGACAGAUUUUCUCAAAAAGGUUUAAAAUAUCGUCAAGUGGAGAACCCGUUCAAAAAUAUUGGGAAAAUAUACCAGGAUAUUUUAACAAACUCAUCGGUUAUAUUGUAUAGAUCUAAUAACGGACGCGUUAAACUGUAUGGGAAAAUUCAUAAAGACUUUGUAGUACAUCCAGUACCUCCGCGAUUUUUAAAUGAAUUUUUCCGUAUGAAGAGAAGUAUAACCGAUGAAAAUAGUGAAUUUGAGGAAUCCCAUCCUCAUAUUAUUUACCGACGAGAAGUUCCAGAUGACGACAACCUACGAAGCGGAAUGAAGCUGGUACAAAGGGUGAGAAGAUCUCAACACCAUAGGAGUAAACGAAGUGUACCAGAAAUUAUUUACCCACAAUUAUUAGUAAUCUUGGAUCAUAGUUUAUACGACGUUCUAGGCAAAGAUUACAAAUCAACUAUUAUUUAUUUGCUUUCUUUUUGGAAUGCUGUCGAUUUGAGAUAUCGAUCAUUAAGUGGACCAAGGAUACGAUUAAAUAUCGCGGGAUUCAUUAUAUCAUUAGUAAAUAUUUAAUUAUGUUAUUUUUUGUAUUUCUCUAAGGCGGAAUUAAUUAGAAAUUUAAUUUUAAGAAUUUCAUUUUUUUUUUAUUUUGAAAUUUCUUAUAAUUUAGUAAUAUUUUGAUAUUCUAUUAAAAAUCUUUCCCCGAGUAUCGUUUUGUGAACUUUUACUCAAAAUUGAGUUUGAAGAUUUAAAAAAAAAAUUUAUUACUAUUCUUACCCCUGAGUAAUUUGAUAACGACAUUUGACCCAGUGAAAAAUUUCCCGCGACAAAAUACCGAAUUACUUUACUAAAUAUAUUUUACGAUGGUUCAUUUGACUUAUGAUUAUUAAUUUUUAAUGGAUAUUUUGUCCCAGAUAUUUUAAUUUUCGGUAUUUUGUCUUCGGGUUGAAUAUUACGUAGCCGCGAAUUUCAAAUUUAAAAAAAACUAAAAGAUUAAAACAUAAAUAAUAAAAUAUAGAGAGAAGGCGGCACACCGUACUUAGAAAACCAUCGUCGUGGUGAAGUAGAAGUUGAUGCCGACUUAGCAUUGACAGAUAUGAGUAAAUAUUUCUACACGGAAUCAAGAUUUCCAUUUGAUAUGUACGAUAUGGCAGUUGCCUUAACAAACUACGACAUGUGUAAUAUGGAAAAUGGUUAUUGUGACACAUCAACAUUAGGUAAAAAAAAAUUUUUGUUUCCAUUUCACAACGUAAAAUUUUUCUUGCUUCAAGAAAUUAUUUUUUUUUUUAUGAACUUCCUGUUAACCAAAAAUUAAAAUUAACAAAAUUAAAACAGGAUAUGCAUUUGAAAUGGGAGCAUGUAACAGAAGUUCAAUAGACCGAGUUACUGAAGCCGUAGGAAUUGUAGAAGAUAAUGGCGGUUACAGUGCCAUUCUCCCAGCAACUCAUGAAGUUGGACACUUGUAAUUAAAUAUUAUAAAUUUAAAUAGUAAUAAUAAUAAAUAAUAAUUAUAAUUUAACAAUUUAAUAACCACAGACUAGGUCUCCCACACGACGGUUCUGAAGAAACAUCAGAUUGUCCAGGAUAUGAGGGAAAUAUUAUGACCGGCACUGUUACUUUUAGUCACAAUAGUUUCCUGUGGUCUAACUGUAGUAAACGAUUACUUGAUGAAUUUUUCAGGUGAUCAAUCAUUUACAUUAACAAUAAUAAUAAUUAUUCAAAAAAACUAAUUCAAAAAUGUCUAUAUAAAUAUUACAGUUCAACCGAUGCAGUUUGUCUUUUUAAUGAGCCACAAAGAACUAAAAAACUACCAAACGUCUUGCCAGGAAAAAUUCUAUCACUCGAUGAACAGUGUAAAAAAGUCUUUGGAUCUAGAGCUUGCUACGUAAGUUAAUAAAAAUUUUUUGCAACGACCAGGUGAUAGAGACCGAGUGAACAAGUGCCAUUAACGCCUUGAUUGAAUUUAAUCACCUGGAUCUCUAUCUUCUGACAACGGCACUAUUUUAACAAUUUAAGGAUAUCAAUGCUACUAAUUAUUUUUUUUUUAAACGUUAGUAUGACGAAAAAGUGUGUACAAAACUCGAAUGUUUUAUGCCAAGAGGUGGGUUCUGUAAAGCAAUCUCAUCUGCUGCUGAA
This is an RNA transcript of Microplitis demolitor, 2419 nucleotides long. It is a transcript of the gene named A disintegrin and metalloproteinase with thrombospondin motifs 18, with no coding region annotated. The record is from RefSeq and is a predicted model, not a curated record. The transcript has 5 exons. NCBI's taxonomy places the organism in Eukaryota, Metazoa, Arthropoda, Insecta, Hymenoptera, Braconidae.